AGCCGCACUUAUAGAAUCGGGAAACUCAUCAAUUUAGAAAGAAAUACCGAGAACAGCUUCAUUUUCCAAUGGCGGGCCACGCCUUCGGGUAGCAUUUAUGCCGGUGGAUUACAAAGGAAAUGGGCACUCAAAUCAUGUUUUAUCGGAGUUUCGUCACGUCUAAGGGUGCGGCUUUUU
This 177-nucleotide small RNA is filed under the name uncultured Phocaeicola sp. Its description in RNAcentral is "Bacteroidales-1 6S-Bacteroidales RNA suggested". It matches the Rfam family "Bacteroidales-1 6S-Bacteroidales RNA suggested". The record is from RNAcentral. Lineage: Bacteria; Pseudomonadati; Bacteroidota; Bacteroidia; Bacteroidales; Bacteroidaceae.